Molecule: non-coding RNA, 46 nt
Organism: Bacillus sp. OV166
Lineage: Bacteria; Bacillati; Bacillota; Bacilli; Caryophanales; Bacillaceae
Source: Rfam
CCACAGGCUUCUCUUGAAGCCAACAUCUAUGCUCAAAUCACUUUUG